Molecule: ribosomal RNA, 498 nt
Filed under: uncultured bacterium
Lineage: Bacteria
Description: partial 16S ribosomal RNA
Rfam family: Bacterial small subunit ribosomal RNA
Source: RNAcentral
AUUGAACGCUGGCGGCAUGCCUUACACAUGCAAGUCGAACGGUAACGCGGGGCAACCUGGCGACGAGUGGCGAACGGGUGAGUAAUGUAUCGGAACGUGCCCAAUUGUGGGGGAUAACUGCUCGAAAGAGCAGCUAAUACCGCAUACGACCUGAGGGUGAAAGCGGGGGAUCGCAAGACCUCGCGCAAUUGGAGCGGCCGAUAUCAGAUUAGGUAGUUGGUGGGGUAAAGGCUCACCAAGCCGACGAUCUGUAGCUGGUCUGAGAGGACGACCAGCCACACUGGGACUGAGACACGGCCCAGACUCCUACGGGAGGCAGCAGUGGGGAAUUUUGGACAAUGGACGCAAGUCUGAUCCAGCCAUGCCGCGUGCGGGAAGAAGGCCUUCGGGUUGUAAACCGCUUUUGUCAGGGAAGAAACGCUCUGGGUUAAUACCUCGGGGUAAUGACGGUACCUGAAGAAUAAGCACCGGCUAACUACGUGCCAGCCGCCGCGGUAA